UCCGGCUUAUCACCGGCGGUUUCUUUAGAGUGCCCAACUAAAUGAUGGCAACUAAAGACGAGGGUUGCGCUCGUUGCGGGACUUAACCCAACAUCUCACGACACGAGCUGACGACAGCCAUGCAGCACCUCCACGGCAGCCCCGAAGGGAAACUCCAUCUCUGGAGCUGUCCACCGCAGUUCAAACCCAGGUAAGGUUCUUCGCGUUGCGUCGAGUUAAACCACAUGCUCCACCGCUUGUGCAGGCCCCCGUCAAUUUCUUUGAGUUUUAACCUUGCGGCCGUACUCCCCAGGCGGAUGACUUAACGCGUUAGCUGCGCCACCGAAACUCCAUGAGCCCCGACAGCUAGUCAUCAUCGUUUACGGCGUGGACUAC
Molecule: unclassified non-coding RNA, 375 nt
Filed under: uncultured Sphingomonadaceae bacterium
Lineage: Bacteria; Pseudomonadati; Pseudomonadota; Alphaproteobacteria; Sphingomonadales; Sphingomonadaceae
Description: contains 16S-23S intergenic spacer region
Source: RNAcentral